CUGAUACGUAAGUCCCGUGGCAGUCAUAAAGUAAGAAAAACAUUGAAAAUAUGCUUUCAAGCAUAAGCAUUUAAACUUCUUUGGGAAACAGAUUAAUUAAAUGCACUUGUAGGAAAAUGGAAGGUUUAGGAAAGAGUUAUUCCUGCUACUCCUAGCCAGUAUUUCCAAGACCAAUCAAGAGCCAGGGAAGAAAUUGUGGAGAAUAAUACACAGAGGGAAUACUGUACUUCAGAGCUGGAAAAUUUCCUCUGGAGUAGGUAAGGUUUGGAGGUCAACUGCAGUGAGGUCUCUAUACCACAGAGUGGUGAGUCCCCAAGUCCCGGUGAACUCAGGAAAUGGGCAUUAUCCUCUGGAAGAUGUUUAUAGAGGUGACUUUUUUGUUAAAGAAGACAACUUGAUAGCAGACCGGCCUAAUCUGAAGUACUAGCUUGACAACUGUUAGUUUAUAGAGCAAUAUGUGGAACCCAAUCUGUCUACCCCCUACUCCAAGAAUUUGCUGAGAAGACAUCAGUUUCAUUCCUGC
RNAcentral lists this long non-coding RNA (523 nucleotides) under Pan troglodytes (chimpanzee). RNAcentral's name for it is "lncRNA (ENSPTRG00000053310.1)". The record is from RNAcentral. Lineage: Eukaryota; Metazoa; Chordata; Mammalia; Primates; Hominidae.